RNAcentral lists this ribosomal RNA (464 nucleotides) under uncultured bacterium. RNAcentral's name for it is "partial 16S ribosomal RNA". It matches the Rfam family "Bacterial small subunit ribosomal RNA", at positions 339 to 795 of the family's 1533-position model. The record is from RNAcentral.
CUACGGGUGGCUGCAGUGGGGAAUAUUGCACAAUGGGCGCAAGCCUGAUGCAGCCAUGCCGCGUGUAUGAAGAAGGCCUUCGGGUUGUAAAGUACUUUCAGCGGGGAGGAAGGGAGUAAAGUUAAUACCUUUGCUCAUUGACGUUACCCGCAGAAGAAGCACCGGCUAACUCCGUGCCAGCAGCCGCGGUAAUACGGAGGGUGCAAGCGUUAAUCGGAAUUACUGGGCGUAAAGCGCACGCAGGCGGUUUGGUAAGUCAGAUGUGAAAUCCCCGGGCUCAACCUGGGAACUGCAUCUGAUACUGGCUAGCUUGAGUCUCGUAGAGGGGAGUAGAAUUCCAGGUGUAGCGGUGAAAUGCGUAGAGAUCUGGAGGAAUACCGGUGGCGAAGGCGGCCCCCUGGACGAAGACUGACGCUCAGGUGCGAAAGCGUGGGGAGCAAACAGGAUUAGAUACCCUAGUAGUC